Long non-coding RNA from Daphnia magna, 438 nucleotides. RefSeq lists it as uncharacterized. The record is from RefSeq and is a predicted model, not a curated record. NCBI's taxonomy places the organism in Eukaryota, Metazoa, Arthropoda, Branchiopoda, Diplostraca, Daphniidae. The transcript has 2 exons.
CAAACAUUAUUGAAACUCCGCGUUGGUGAAACGCGAGAUGAAAAGGGUAUCCUCUGUCACGGCAUUUAAACUUGCAUCUAUUAAAGCCUUGUUGUCACCUAAACGACAUCUAGCUAGUCUAGACUGUAUCGUUCGAUGGAUAUCGAACUGCCUUAUAGUCACGCCGUUGGCAAGACACGUGAAAGACGGUCGGAAAAGGAAGAGAACGAAAGUCAUGUCCAUUUAUCUUACCUUUCCUUCUCGUCACCUUUGACCAAAAAAUGAAGAAAAUGUUUCGUUGCCUUCCGCAUUUGCCUCAGUUGAUAUGUGUGUGCAAGGUGUUCUGUUGGGGAUAAAUGUGCACCCAGACCUACACGGAAUCUCCACUUGAAAGGUCUAUCAAAAAUAUGACGAGUUCUGCAUGUCCUUUAUGUUCGACGAUCAGUUUCUUCUCACAAG